CACAGUCAUUUAGCUGAAUAUUGCCAAGAGGAAAGAUCAUGAUCAUGACAUAACUUCUUAUUCUGCUGAUGACGAUAAUAAAGGUUGCUGUGAUGGGUCAACAUGACAAGAUAAAGUAAGAAAGUAAGAUAGAGUAAGAAAACAAGUAAGAAAGAAUCCUCUGAAGGCCAGUCUCAACAGCAGUUGAAGCAAAAGUCUUGGAUCUUUCCCCUAGUGGUUUAGGAAAGAGACCUAACAAAGGGGAGGAUACAAACUGGAUAGCUUUCCUCAGGACUCUGUUUCCAGUAGGUCUCUAAUUUUUCCAAGCCACAUGGAACAAAAAACACUGAGCCAGCAUCCUUCCUCAUUUACAGUGACAUAAAUUUGAAGAUAAAACCAGCAAAGUCAACAUAGUUUCAUAGCAGUGAAAGUAAUGCAAGAUCAGAGGACAUUUUUACAUAAAGUGUAGUGAACUUCUGGAAUUCACUGAUACAAGAAGUUGUGGGGACAGAUAACACCACCAACUUUAGCAAGAUGUUAAGCAAAUUCUUGGACAGCAGGUCAGUAAAGAGAUACAAACCCACAUGAAUGCCUAAUAUGCCUAAUAUGGUGGCUGCAG
RNAcentral lists this long non-coding RNA (598 nucleotides) under Anas platyrhynchos platyrhynchos (common mallard). RNAcentral's name for it is "lncRNA (ENSAPLG00000030673.1)". The record is from RNAcentral. Lineage: Eukaryota; Metazoa; Chordata; Aves; Anseriformes; Anatidae.